This 406-nucleotide unclassified non-coding RNA is filed under the name Hevea brasiliensis (rubber tree). The record is from RNAcentral. Lineage: Eukaryota; Viridiplantae; Streptophyta; Magnoliopsida; Malpighiales; Euphorbiaceae.
AAAUGUGGCAAGCCAUCUGCAGAAGUAUAGGCUUUACUUGAAAAGGAUCAAUUCAGUUCAAACCCAACAAGCAAACAUGGUUGCCGCAUUAGGGGGAAGGGACUAUGUGCGAAUGGGCUCACUGGAUGGGCUUGGAGAUUUUCGAACAUUGGGUGGAUCAGGACGGUAUACUCAUGCUGCCUUGUCAUCGUACAGUUCAGGGGGCAUGCUUGGCAGACUAAAUAGUGCUGCUGGUCUAAGUGUGCGCAAUCUUGCAGCAUCUCAGCUACUCCAACCUAGUCAUGGUCAAAAUUUGAGCAAUUCCGUUAAUGCUUUCACGAAACUGAAUCCAAGCAUUCCGCCAGCCAGCCAGAAUGCUAGUUUAUUUCAAGGCAUUCCUGCAUCAUUGGAGCUUGAUCAAUUGCAG